AAUUUUGAACUGCAUGGUUCGAAAUUGAAAGGCGGCUUCGGCUGUCACUUAUGGAUGGACCCGCGUCCCAUUAGCUAGUUGGUGAGGUAACGGCUCACCAAGGCAACGAUGCGUAACCGACCUGAGAGGGUGAUCGGCCACACUGGGACUGAGACACGGCCCAGACUCCUACGGGAGGCAGCAGUAGGGAAUCUUCCGCAAUGGACGAAAGUCUGACGGAGCAACGCCGCGUGAGUGAUGAAGGCUUUCGGGUCGUAAAACUCUGUUGUUAGGGAAGAACAAGUGCUAGUUGAAUAAGCUGGCACCUUGACGGUACCUAACCAGAAAGCCACGGCUAACUACGUGCCAGCAGCCGCGGUAAUACGUAGGUGGCAAGCGUUAUCCGGAAUUAUUGGGCGUAAAGCGCGCGCAGGUGGUUUCUUAAGUCUGAUGUGAAAGCCCACGGCUCAACCGUGGAGGGG
This 461-nucleotide ribosomal RNA is filed under the name Bacillus toyonensis. Its description in RNAcentral is "bacterial SSU rRNA". It matches the Rfam family "Bacterial small subunit ribosomal RNA", at positions 173 to 623 of the family's 1533-position model. The record is from RNAcentral. Lineage: Bacteria; Bacillati; Bacillota; Bacilli; Caryophanales; Bacillaceae.